Molecule: ribosomal RNA, 255 nt
Filed under: uncultured bacterium
Lineage: Bacteria
Description: partial 16S ribosomal RNA
Rfam family: Bacterial small subunit ribosomal RNA
Source: RNAcentral
UACGAAGGGGGCUAGCGUUGUUCGGAUUUACUGGGCGUAAAGCGUGCGCAGGCGGUUUGCUAAGACAGGUGUGAAAAUCCCCGAGCUUAACUUGGGAACUGCGCUUGUAACUGGCAAGCUAGAGUGUGGCAGAGGGGGGUGGAAUUCCACGUGUAGCAGUGAAAUGCGUAGAGAUGUGGAGGAACACCGAUGGCGAAGGCAGCCCCCCUGGGCUAACACUGACGCUCAUGCACGAAAGCGUGGGGAGCAAACAGG